UACGGAGGAUCCAAGCGUUAUCCGGAUUUAUUGGGUUUAAAGGGUGCGUAGGCGGAUUGAUAAGUUAGAGGUGAAAUGUCCGAGCUCAACUCGGGAACUGCCUCUAAUACUGUUGGUCUGGAGAGUAGAUGCGGUAGGCGGAAUGUAUGGUGUAGCGGUGAAAUGCUUAGAGAUCAUACAGAACACCGAUUGCGAAGGCAGCUUACCAAUCUAUAUCUGACGUUGAGGCACGAAAGCGUGGGGAGCAAACAGG
This 253-nucleotide ribosomal RNA is filed under the name uncultured bacterium. RNAcentral describes it as "partial 16S ribosomal RNA". It matches the Rfam family "Bacterial small subunit ribosomal RNA", at positions 524 to 776 of the family's 1533-position model. The record is from RNAcentral.